AGUUUGUAUCUGAAGGCCAAAACAGGAUGUAAAAAAGUUUAUAAUCUCAAAGUUCGUAUGUAGAACGUAAGUUGAGAUAUUACUGUAUUUAGAAUAAUGUUUCCCAAACUUUUCUGAUUUUGGACUUUUUUCAUUAUAAAGAUCCAAUAAGCUCCAAAUAACAUUUCCUUAUUAAAAAUUGAAAAAUUAUAUAGUGCCCAUGUUCCAAAUCUUAGAACUCAAAGAAACGAUCUUUUUCUUCAAAAUUUCAAAAUAAAUUGAGCCAUAGAGCAAAAGGAAUGCCUACCGUUUUUCCUGACAUCUGUUGAAAAUAUGGCAUACUUCCACUGGGUGAGUAUAUCUAUAGAUGCAUGCAUCUCUAGAUAUAUAGAUGUGUGAAAGGGAUACAAGAUAUAUCUUGCACAUCUCAGAAGCCUAUUAAUAUGCAUACACUAGGUUGUGAAUAGUUGUGAAAAAUAAACUUAGAAAAAUAAUGAUAGCAGUAAAUACUUCAAAAAUGUUUUUCUUUAUUAAUUAAUCGGAAAUUUGAUCAUCUUUAGUACAAUACAAGAAUGAAGUACAGACAUUAUCUUACAAACAAGAAAUACAAGUUUCUGUUGAUUUUUUUAAGAAAGCAGUGUGAUUUAAAUAAACUUGUACUGAAUACUUUCUCGUUAAACUGGAUUAACCAAUACUCAUUAAAUUAAAACACAGCACUUUCUGCAGUAUGGUAAUAAAGUCCUCGUUUAUUAGGCAAACGUUUUCGAUGUGUUAUUACAUCCUCUUCAGGCUUAACUUAACCGAAACAAACAUAAAAUAGAACAUUUCCAUUCUAAAUGUAGCCAUGACAACUCAAUGUUUGUAGAUUAUAAAUAUUACAAAUAUUCAAAUUCAGUUCUAAAUAUUUAACGGAAAAAACCCAAAAACUUCAAAGUAAAAAAAAACCCUUUAACCAAUAAUAAUAACUAUAAAACUGUGUCUACACCUGAGAACCUCCUAUUUUUACCCAAGUUUCAUUUCCCUUCCUUCCUCACAAGCUCUACCUCUACCAUGUUGCUUCCUAUUGGUAACACUUAAAAACCCUUUAUCAUUUGUUAAUUAUUUUAUCUAGUAGAUACUUCCAAGCCAUGGACAGCUCCCAUGCUAGUCUAUCAUUAACUACCCUCUCCUCUCCCGAUCUUCUUAUUAUUUCCAAAGACUCUACUAUAGUCAGUUGUACGCUCUUCAUUACUGGCUUAACACACAACCCCCUCCCAGUUUAUAGUAAUAUCAUAAGCCUCACAUGCUAAGACUGUGUUAAGACUAGCCUGUAAAAUAUUUUUUGUGCUCAUCAAUAUGCCUCUCUAUCGUUCUUGAGGUGAUUCCAAUAUAUGCUGAUUCCUCCUUCGUGCUAUUGUUUGUUAUGGGUAUUCUAUAUAUCCCUCUUCUUUGUUCAAGCCAGUCUUUUUCAUUUCUCAGAACACUAAAUAAGAAAGAAGUGUUGCCUACCUUGAUAUAUAAAGUUAGGUUGCCAGUAAAAUCUAAGAAACUCCUAAAAAGAAUGAAGCAGGUGUGCUUAAAGGUGGCAAUAUCAGAUGCCAAAAGAGUUUUCUAUAAUAUGAGUUUGAGCAAACAGAUCCAGGGCUGAUUAGAGACAUAGUGCAUCUAAUUUUUAUAACUCAUAUUUUAAGUUUAGGAGUAAGAUUUAUAAGCAGGUAAGAGGGGUCCUGAUAGGGAGUCUGAUAGCUGGGACACUGGCGGAAAUAGUGCUUAGAACCCUAGACAGC
Molecule: long non-coding RNA, 1745 nt
Filed under: Androctonus crassicauda
Lineage: Eukaryota; Metazoa; Arthropoda; Arachnida; Scorpiones; Buthidae
Source: RNAcentral